CCACACAGGAAGAUCACACCAUCCCUCAACAGGAUCAGUAUGAAGAUCUGAUAGAUAUAAAAGUUGAGGUUAAAGAAGAAGAAGACGACGACGAAGAAGAAGAGAUGUAUAUGGAGGAGGCUGAAAUGAUUAAGACAUUUAUAGAGGAGGACACUCCUACAGAGAUCAGCACAGUAGAUGGACGGGAGAUGAGGAAAACCUCAGAGGAUUGUC
Rana temporaria (common frog) is the source of this 213-nucleotide long non-coding RNA. RefSeq lists it as uncharacterized. The record is from RefSeq and is a predicted model, not a curated record. The transcript has 3 exons. NCBI's taxonomy places the organism in Eukaryota, Metazoa, Chordata, Amphibia, Anura, Ranidae.